ACCGGCAGCUCAAGUGGUGGCCAUUAUUAUUGGGCCUAAAGCGUUCGUAGCCGGUUUGAUAAGUCUCUGGUGAAAUCCCGCAGCUUAACUGUGGGACUUGCUGGAGAUACUAUCAGACUUGAGGUCGGGAGAGGUUAGGGGUACUCCCAGGGUAGCGGUGAAAUGCAAUAAUCCUGGGGGGAAGAACUGUGGCGAAGGCGCCUAACUGGAACGAACCUCUCGGUGAGUAACGAAAGCCAGGGGUGCGAACGG
Molecule: ribosomal RNA, 252 nt
Filed under: uncultured prokaryote
Description: partial 16S rRNA
Rfam family: Archaeal small subunit ribosomal RNA
Source: RNAcentral